This 123-nucleotide ribosomal RNA is filed under the name uncultured bacterium. Its description in RNAcentral is "partial 16S ribosomal RNA". It matches the Rfam family "Bacterial small subunit ribosomal RNA", at positions 1379 to 1500 of the family's 1533-position model. The record is from RNAcentral.
CCUUGUACACACCGCCCGUCACACCAUGGGAGUUGGUUCUACCUGAAGACGGUGCGCUGACCGAAAGGGGGCAGCCGGCCACGGUAGGGUCAGCGACUGGGGUGAAGUCGUAAACAAGGUACC